GACGAACGCUGGCGGCGUGCUUAACACAUGCAAGUCGAACGGAAAGGCCCUGCUUUUGUGGGGUGCUCGAGUGGCGAACGGGUGAGUAACACGUGAGUAACCUGCCCUUGACUUUGGGAUAACUUCAGGAAACUGGGGCUAAUACCGGAUAUGAGCUCCUGCUGCAUGGUGGGGGUUGGAAAGUUUCGGCGGUUGGGGAUGGACUCGCGGCUUAUCAGCUUGUUGGUGGGGUAGUGGCUUACCAAGGCUUUGACGGGUAGCCGGCCUGAGAGGGUGACAGGCCAAAUUGGGACUGAGAUACGGACCAGACUCCAACGGGAGGCAGCAGUGGGGAAUAUUGCACAAUGGGCGGAAGCCUGAUGCAGCAACGCCGCGUGCGGGAUGACGGCCUUCGGGUUGUAAACCGCUUUCGCCUGUGACGAAGCGUGAGUGACGGUAAUGGGUAAAGAAGCACCGGCUAACUACGUG
Molecule: ribosomal RNA, 468 nt
Filed under: uncultured bacterium
Lineage: Bacteria
Description: partial 16S ribosomal RNA
Rfam family: Bacterial small subunit ribosomal RNA
Source: RNAcentral